This 554-nucleotide ribosomal RNA is filed under the name uncultured bacterium. RNAcentral describes it as "partial 16S ribosomal RNA". The record is from RNAcentral.
GGAGUUAGCCGGUGCUUCUUCUGCGAGUAACGUCACAGAUGUAAGGUAUUAACUUACACCCUUUCCUCCUCGCUGAAAGUGCUUUACAACCCGAAGGCCUUCUUCACACACGCGGCAUGGCUGCAUCAGGGUUUCCCCCAUUGUGCAAUAUUCCCCACUGCUGCCUCCCGUAGGAGUCUGGGCCGUGUCUCAGUCCCAGUGUGGCUGAUCAUCCUCUCAGACCAGCUAGGGAUCGUCGCCUAGGUGAGCCUUUACCUCACCUACUAGCUAAUCCCACCUGGGCUUAUCCAUCAGCGCAAGGCCCGAAGGUCCCCUGCUUUCCCCCGUAGGGCGUAUGCGGUAUUAGCAGUCGUUUCCAACUGUUAUCCCCCACAAAUGGGCAAAUUCCCAGGCAUUACUCACCCGUCCGCCGCUCGUCAUCUUCAAAAGCAAGCUUUUGAAAUGUUACCGCUCGACUUGCAUGUGUUAGGCCUGCCGCCAGCGUUCAAUCUGAGCCAGAAUCGAAACCCUCGUACGUACGUAGACGGGCGGUCGUCGGACGACGGCGACUAAGU